AAGGCCCUAGCUUGCUAGGUGUCCUUAGUGGCGCACGGGUGAGUAACACGUGGGAACAUACCUCAUAGUACGGAAUAACUGCGGGAAACUGUAGCUAAUACCGUAUAUUCCAGAAAUGGGAAAGAUUUAUCGCUAUGAGAUUGGCCCGCGCAAGAUUAGCUUGUUGGCAAGGUAAUGGCUUACCAAGGCUCCGAUCUUUAGCUGGUUUGAGAGGAUGAUCAGCCACACUGGGACUGAGACACGGCCCAGACUCCUACGGGAGGCAGCAGUAGGGAAUAUUGGACAAUGGGGGAAACCCUGAUCCAGCAAUGCAGCGUGAGUGACGAAGGCCUUAGGGUUGUAAAACUCUUUCAUCGGUGAGGAUAAUGACAGUAGCCGAAGAAGAAGGACCGGCUAAUUCCGUGCCAGCAGCCGCGGUAAUACGGAAGGUCCUAGCGUUGUUCGGAAUUACUGGGCGUAAAGCGCAUGUAGGCGGAACAAAAAGUUAGAAGUGAAAUCCCUGGGCUCAACCUAGGAAUGGCUUUUAAAACUUUUGUUCUGGAAUUCAGGAGAGGAAAAUGGAAUUUCCAGUGUAGAGGUGAAAUUCGUAGAUAUUGGAAGGAACACCAGUGGCGAAGGCGAUUUUCUGGACUGAUAUUGACGCUGAGAUGCGAAGGCAUGGGUAGCAAACGGGAUUAGAUACCCCGGUAGUCCAUGCAGUAAACGAUGGGUGCUAGUCGUCGGACUUUUGUUCGGUGUCGUAGCUAACGCGUUAAGCACCCCGCCUGGGGAGUACGGUCGCAAGAUCAAAACUCAAAUAAAUUGACGGGGACCCGCACAAGCAGUGGAGCAUGUGGUUUAAUUCGACGCAACGCGAAGAACCUUACCGGCGUUUGACGUGGGAAGUGCCGGUUACAGAAUGGUAACCUUCAGUUCGGCUGGCUUCCACACAGGUGCUGCAUGGCUGUCGUCAGCUCGUGUCGUG
Molecule: ribosomal RNA, 964 nt
Filed under: uncultured marine bacterium
Lineage: Bacteria
Description: bacterial SSU rRNA
Rfam family: Bacterial small subunit ribosomal RNA
Source: RNAcentral